Molecule: transfer RNA, 72 nt
Filed under: Ovis aries (sheep)
Lineage: Eukaryota; Metazoa; Chordata; Mammalia; Artiodactyla; Bovidae
Rfam family: tRNA
About the family: Transfer RNA (tRNA) molecules are approximately 80 nucleotides in length. Their secondary structure includes four short double-helical elements and three loops (D, anti-codon, and T loops).
Source: Rfam by way of RNAcentral
UCCCUGGUGGCUCAGAGGGUAAAGCAUCUGCCUGCAAUGUGGGAGACCUGGGUUCAAUCCCAGGGUGGGGAA